Molecule: long non-coding RNA, 499 nt
Filed under: Heterocephalus glaber (naked mole-rat)
Lineage: Eukaryota; Metazoa; Chordata; Mammalia; Rodentia; Bathyergidae
Description: lncRNA (ENSHGLG00100043791.1)
Source: RNAcentral
GCUUCUGGAUUACUCGGGAUUGUUCCUGUGCCCUUCCAGGCUUUCUGUGCUCCCUGAAACAAUGGGGCUGGACUGAUCUGGGGAUCCCGCAUUUGCCGCUGGUUUCUUUCUCCUCAUGGGCCCUGAGAGGCCUUGGGGGCCUUGGAGUCAGGCGCAGCACCCAGCUCUGUACCUGAGCUGUGAGCCAGGAUUAAAUAAAUCGGCGGAUGUCUGGAUUUCGUUGAGAGCCAGGGUUUCCCCUGUGGGAGAAGAGAAACGCCCGUGUGGAAUGGAGAGGGAAGAAAGAGCCCCCUGGAAUGAAUGAUAUCAGUGUGAACUCAUGUAACACAGGCACGUGUACGUACGUACGUACGUACGUACGAAGCACCCACGCAGGCACGGUCCCUCCCGAGGCCAAGCAGCACUGCUACCCUAGUAGUGACGAGCACAGAAGGAAAUUCAUGCAUUAUGGAUGAGGACUAUUUCUUAUUCAGCAGCCAAGGCUGGCUCUUCUAUCAAA